This 977-nucleotide unclassified non-coding RNA is filed under the name Hevea brasiliensis (rubber tree). The record is from RNAcentral. Lineage: Eukaryota; Viridiplantae; Streptophyta; Magnoliopsida; Malpighiales; Euphorbiaceae.
CUUUUUUUUUUUUUUUUGGAUUUUUACACUUACGAUCUUUAAUCUGUUGGACUGUAUCCCUUAGGCUUCGCUUUGAAUUGUGUGUCCUCUGGGCACUUGUAUAGGAAGUAUGUUUUAUUCUUCUUACUAGAUUAUUUAAACUCCAAUGAUGGGGGCUGUUGACCUCCCCCCUCCUUGCAAUGAGUGCUUUCAAAGCAUUUCUUAAAGGAGAUUAAUGGCUUGUUGCUGUACUAUUUGUCAUUUUUAUGUUGUCUGUGUGCAGUGUGCAUGUUUGCAAGUGGACCUCUAGCUUGUACAUGUGUCACUACAAGAAACAAGAUUCCUUGGUCUCGACCUGUUAGUGCUAUUCACUGUUGAGCAAUAAUCUAACAAACCUAAAAUUUGUUCCCCACCCUUUCCAUGUGAAUCGUUUUAACCUCUUUCUGCCAGCCAAAUGGAACACAUUUGUAUUUUGUUGGUUGCUCAUGUGAUUAUUAUAUUAUGCUUUGGUGGUUUAUUACUGUCCAGUUGAUCAUGGUUAAUGGCCAAAAUAUUAGUCAUGGAAAACUCUCAUCUGCGGGAGACUGUAUAAUGGGAUUCCAAUCUUUCUUUGCACUUUUUUUCUUUGUGAAUUAAGUGUGUUGGCAGGUCUGAUUAAGUGUCAUCUAGCAUCACUAUGUCAUUUUUGCUUGCAGAUAUUCUCUAUGAUUCAUGGUCCCCAGCUAUGACUGUGAGUUCUAUCUGUAUAAGCAUCCUCUCCAUGCUGUCGAGCGCGACUGUGAAGGUUUGUUUCAAAUUUUCAAAUAGUUAAAAUAUAUUCUUCAAAAAAAAUAUAUUCUUGCUAUUACCUUUCUUCCUAGUUAAGGUAUUAUCGUAUCUCUCAUAUAUGCUCUACUGUGAUGCAGCAACGCCCUGUUGAUAAUGAUCGCUAUGUGAAGAACUGUAAGAGUGGCAGAUCUCCCAAAGAGACAAGAUGGUGGUUCCAUGAUGAUAAAGUG